Mandrillus leucophaeus (drill) is the source of this 459-nucleotide long non-coding RNA. RefSeq lists it as uncharacterized. The transcript has 3 exons. Lineage: Eukaryota; Metazoa; Chordata; Mammalia; Primates; Cercopithecidae. The record is from RefSeq and is a predicted model, not a curated record.
AAACUGAGGAAAGAAGGGAUGGAUAAAACAAACUGCUGACUUCCCAGUUUUGCUGAGUCCAGUCUGCCAAGCAAAAUAGGGGGCCAGGUGCAGUGGCUCAUCUUCCCAAAGUGUUGGGAUUACAGGCAUGAGCCACUGCACCCAGUCUGGGACACCUGUUUUAAGGGUGCAGGCCACUAGCUAAGCAAUGAGCAUGUCCUUAUCUCUGCAGCCUUUUGCUACCUCUUCCUUUGUGGUAUGUCCCCAUGUCACUCAGCCAUUAUCAACCUCAGCCACAGGUUCACAACAAUGUGUGGAAUCUCCUAUUGGCUUCUAAAAUAUUUGUCACUGAAAUGAGUAGAUGCCCAAACUAAACACAGAUUUCUGUUUCCAUGAUGUGCCCAUGAAAACUGAAAAUUUCAAGCCGGAAAUCAAAUGUUUACAAAUACAAAUAAAAUUCUGUAUUUGUUGUAUAUUUUA